GACGAACGCUGGCGGCGUGCUUAACACAUGCCAGUCGAACGGAAAGGCCUGCUUUCCCUUGUGGAUUGCGGGUACUCGAGUGGCGAACGGGUGAGUAACACGUGAGUGAUCUGCCCCCAACUUGGGUAUAAGCCUGGGAAACUGGGUCUAAUUCCCGAUAGGACUGCAGGGUGGUGCCUGUGGUGGAAAACGAUUUUCUAGUGGUUGGGGAUGAGCUCGCGGCCUAUCAGCUUGUUGGUGGGGUAAUGGCCUACCAAGGCGGCGACGGGUAGCCGGCCUGAGAGGGUGGACGGCCACAUUGGGACUGAGAGACGGCCCAGACUCCUACGGGAGGCAGCAGUGGGGAAUAUUGCACAAUGGGCGGAAGCCUGAUGCAGCGACGCCGCGUGGGGGAUGACGGCCUUCGGGUUGUAAACUCCUUUCGACCGCGAGGAAGCCACCUGGUUGGAAGGGUGGUGACGGUAGUGGUAGAAGAAGCACCGGCUAACUACGUG
Molecule: ribosomal RNA, 494 nt
Filed under: uncultured bacterium
Lineage: Bacteria
Description: partial 16S ribosomal RNA
Rfam family: Bacterial small subunit ribosomal RNA
Source: RNAcentral